ACAGUUGGUAGAGACUGUUGAAGCCACCUGGUCCCAGCAGACCCCAGAAGGCAGCCACAAUCAGUGCUGGGACAAGGUCGUUAAAGGUGAAGCCUGGUGCCAGAUGUG
RNAcentral lists this ribosomal RNA (108 nucleotides) under Panthera tigris altaica (Amur tiger). Lineage: Eukaryota; Metazoa; Chordata; Mammalia; Carnivora; Felidae. The record is from RNAcentral.